This 31-nucleotide ribosomal RNA is filed under the name Tripodanthus acutifolius. RNAcentral describes it as "partial 26S ribosomal RNA". The record is from RNAcentral. Lineage: Eukaryota; Viridiplantae; Streptophyta; Magnoliopsida; Santalales; Loranthaceae.
CGACCCCAGGUCAGGCGGGGCUACCCGCUGA